GAUGAAGAACGUAGUGAAAUGCGAUAAGUAAUGUGAAUUGCAGAAUUCCGUGAAUCAUCGAAUCUUUGAACGCACAUUGCGCCCCCUGGUAUUCCGGGGGGGCAUGCCUGUCCGAGCGUCAUUGCAACCUUCAAGCGCGGCUUGUGUGUUGGGUCUCGUCCCCCGUGGACGGGCCCGAAAGGCAGUGGCGGCGUCCCGACAUGGUGCCCGAGCGUAUGGGAAUCCUCUUCCGCUCGAAUCGGCCCAUGCGGCGCUGGUCGUAACCAAAUUUUUUACCGGUUGACCUCGGAUCAGGUAGGGAUACCCGCUGAACUUAAGCAUAUCAAUAAGCGGAGGA
This 337-nucleotide unclassified non-coding RNA is filed under the name soil metagenome. RNAcentral describes it as "partial contains 5.8S ribosomal RNA, internal transcribed spacer 2, and large subunit ribosomal RNA". The stretch from base 1 to 121 matches the Rfam family "5.8S ribosomal RNA", at positions 35 to 154 of the family's 154-position model. The record is from RNAcentral.